GACGAACGCUGGCGGCGUGCUUAACACAUGCAAGUCGAACGGAAAGGCCCUGCUUUUGUGGGGUGCUCGAGUGGCGAACGGGUGAGUAACACGUGAGUAACCUGCCCUUGACUUUGGGAUAACUUCAGGAAACUGGGGCUAAUACCGGAUAGGAGCUCCUGCUGCAUGGUGGGGGUUGGAAAGUUUCGGCGGUUGGGGAUGGACUCGCGGCUUAUCAGCUUGUUGGUGGGGUAGUGGCUUACCAAGGCUUUGACGGGUAGCCGGCCUGAGAGGGUGACCGGCCACGUGGGGACGAGAUCACGCCCAGGCCUCCGACGGGAGGCAGCGGUGGGAAAUUUUGCACAAGGGGCGGAGGCUGUAGGCAGCACCGCCGCGUGCGGGAGGACGGCUGUGGUUUUGUAACCCGUUUUCCCGUGGGAAGAAGGGGGAGUGAGGGGAGGGGGUAAAAAACCCCGGCCAAACUACGUG
RNAcentral lists this ribosomal RNA (468 nucleotides) under uncultured bacterium. RNAcentral describes it as "partial 16S ribosomal RNA". It matches the Rfam family "Bacterial small subunit ribosomal RNA", at positions 28 to 507 of the family's 1533-position model. The record is from RNAcentral.